CCUACGGGAGGCAGCAGUGAGGAAUAUUGGUCAAUGGGCGAGAGCCUGAACCAGCCAAGUAGCGUGAAGGAUGAAGGCUCUAUGGGUCGUAAACUUCUUUUAUAUGGGAAUAAAGUAUUCCACGUGUGGAAUUUUGUAUGUACCAUAUGAAUAAGGAUCGGCUAACUCCGUGCCAGCAGC
RNAcentral lists this ribosomal RNA (180 nucleotides) under uncultured bacterium. Its description in RNAcentral is "partial 16S ribosomal RNA". It matches the Rfam family "Bacterial small subunit ribosomal RNA", at positions 338 to 515 of the family's 1533-position model. The record is from RNAcentral.